RNAcentral lists this transfer RNA (76 nucleotides) under Companilactobacillus alimentarius. RNAcentral describes it as "tRNA-Asp". It matches the Rfam family "tRNA". Rfam says of the family: Transfer RNA (tRNA) molecules are approximately 80 nucleotides in length. RNAcentral also lists the same sequence under 4 other names. The record is from RNAcentral. Lineage: Bacteria; Bacillati; Bacillota; Bacilli; Lactobacillales; Lactobacillaceae.
UGGUUCCUUGGUCUAGUUGGUUAGGACGCCUGCCUGUCACGCAGGAGAUCGCGGGUUCGAUUCCCGCAGGGACCGU